Long non-coding RNA from Brachypodium distachyon (stiff brome), 1791 nucleotides. RefSeq lists it as uncharacterized. Lineage: Eukaryota; Viridiplantae; Streptophyta; Magnoliopsida; Poales; Poaceae. The transcript has 3 exons. The record is from RefSeq and is a predicted model, not a curated record.
GUAAAACUCGCUACGUUUACCACGUGGUACGUAUUCUUUUGGCAGUCGCGUGCAGCAGCGGGAAGUGACAAACUCGGGUCACCGGCCUUCUCUUCCAUACACUGCCCGCCCGCCCACGCGCCGCAGCCACGUGGUGUCCAACCAGGCCAGCGAGAUUGUUGGGUGACAACGGCGGUAGUACAAGGUCGUUCUAUUCUUGAUGGGUAGUAGUUUCACGUGAGACCGUCCACGAGCUCCAUGGAAAAAAAAAAUUUCUUCUCCAAGUGAUGUUCUUGGAUCGAGAGCUUCGUCUCGGGGGAAAGUGUGGCUCUCAAGCUCAAUGACGUCACCGGCAAUUUUUUCCAAACUCAGAAAGGUCUGCGGCAGGGGAUCCUCUGUCUCCUAUUCUCUUCAACAUUGUUGCAGAUGACACGAUCCUCUUCAUGAACCAUGAUUUGGAUAAAGCCUGAAAUCUCAAACUGGUGCUUUGUAUUUUCGAGCAGCUGUCGGGAUUAAAAAUCAAUUUUCACAAGAAUGAACUCUAUUGCUUCGGCGAGGCGUCGAACUCUGCCCAACAAUACUCUGAGUUGUUUGGUUGCGCGAUGGGGUCGCUCUCUCUUUAGCCCUAUGUCUCUUAUCCCUAGGAGGCCUUCCUCCACUAGCAGGUUUCUUCGGAAAACUCUAUCUAUUCUGGUGUGGAUGGCAAGCAGGCCUUCGUUACUUGGGCAUCCCAGUCCAUCAUCGGAAAUUGACAAAUGCCGAAUGGAAGGGUGUGGAAGAGAGCCUUGAAAAGCAACUUGCGAGUUGGAAGGGCAAGCACCUCUCGAUGGGGGGGCGCCUUGUGCUCAUCAACUCAGUUCCUUAGUAGUAUGGUCAUUUUUAUGAUGUUUUUCUUUGAGAUUCCACGUGGAGUCCUCAAGAGGCUUCAUUUUCGGUCCAGAUUUUUCUGGCAGAAUGAUAGUCAUCAGAAGAAAUAUAGACUUGCUAAAUGGAGUGUCCUGUGCAGGCCAAAUGACCAAGGGGGGUUAGGUAUUCAGGAUCUUGAUGCCAAAAAUACCGCACUUCUCAGCAAAUGGUUAUUCAAACUUUUGUCUGAGGAUGGUAUGUGACAGGACUUGAUACGAAAUAAAUACAUUGGUUCUCAGGCUUUGUCUCAGGUUGAAUGGAGACCAGGUGACUCUCAUUUCUGGGGAGGUCUGAUGAAAGCCAAACGGUUUUUUUUUUCCGUUUCGAAUCUUUCUCAAUUAAGGACGGCUCUCAAGUGAGAUUCUGGGAGGACUCUUGGCUCGGGGGACGCCCCCUCCGAGAGCAAUAUCCGUCUCUGUUUCUCAUUGUGCGUAAUAAGCGUGACACUUUGGCUCAGGUUCUCGCUGCCUUUCCCCCGAAUGUGUCUUUCAGGCGUAGCCUUGUUGCACCCAAAUUGAUCGCCUGGACUGAGCUACUUGAUCGCCUUAUUAAUGUGAACCUAUCCCCUGGGCUUGACGAGUUCCGAUGGAAUCUUCAUGCCAGUGGCGUGUUUUCAGUCAAAUCCAUGUACCAGGCUUUGGUUCAUCAUGAUGUUCCAAUUGCCAGCAAUAGCUUGUGGAAACUAAAGGUUCCUCUCAAGAUUAAAAUUUUCCUUUGGUUCUUGCUGCGGGGGUCACUUUAACUAAAGACAACCUGUUAAAGCGGAAUUGGAAGUGCAGUUCAAAAUACGUUUUUUGUCAUGAAGAUGAGACUAUUGCAUAUCUUUUUUUCCGUUCUCGUGUCUCUCGCUCUGUGUGGUCAAUGGUCCAAAUAGCAUCCAAUCUUUUUCUCCCUCGUGAUGCUACU